GUUCUCCUCCCAUUUUCUUUUCUCUUCCGACCUAAACCUAAAUCUUCAAAAUCAAACCCACGAUUUCAUAGAUCAAAAUCAAAUUUCAUAAAUGAAAACUAUCUCGGAAAUCAAACGCAAACAAUCACUUGGACUGGAGGCUGCGGAUGUGUCUAACUUAGAGAAAAAAUUGAGAUUGAAAUAAGAUGACACAUAGAAGGGGAUCUGAGGGUUUUAACCAAAGGAGAUGAGAUAAAUCGAUGGUGGUAUUAAUUCCGGAGUUGUAGCCAGAUUUAAUCAUGGAUCGAGACUAAUCAAGACAGGGAAGAUGGAAGGAGAAUUCGAAUAUGAGAAAGAAAUGGAUUCGGGGUUUGUAUUUCUCAGAAGUUGUGACAAAAAUGAAGAUUGAAGUCCAGAUUCAAUGGGGUUUGAGAUUAAAUUGAAGUUAUGAUGUUGUUGUAGUCGAUGAGGUUUAGGUUGAUUUGGCUGUUAGUGUUAUUGAUUGAGAAGAAACAGAAACUAGGGUUGUUGUGGUGAUUAAGAUGAAUUUAAAGGGAUUGAGAAGAUGGGUUUGAUGGAUUUUUGGGUUCUUGGUUGUGAACUAUUGAUGGGGAUGAUUUAACAGCUGAUGGUGAAAGCUAAAGAAGAAUUAGGGCAAGGUCAGUCAAUUCAGAUGAUACAUUGAAUGGUUUAUCUAUGUUGGGUUGCUGUUAGAAAUUGCAGGGAAAAAGAAUUGUUUGCAGUAAAGGCACUAGUGGUGGCUGAAUGAUGGAAAUUGAACUGAGAUUUACAGAGAUGGAGAUGGACGUGAUGUUUCACAGAUUAUAUGGUUUACUAAAUCUGAGUUGUGAAGGGUGAUACAACUGUAAGUUAUAGAUAAUGGCUCAGGAUGUGGUGAUGUUUGAAGAUUGUAUGAUGAACUUUUUCCUGCCAGUGACUGUUAGAAGCAAGCAAUGAAGCUAAUGAAGAGAAUGGUAUGUGGAAGGUGCUUUGCAUCAGUGGUUUAAGCUGAGAAGGAGCUGGAAUUGCAGUGGUUGCAUUACAGAGAGCAAGAAGCUGUUGCUGCCUCUAGUACCUGAGAAUCUGAGUUGGAGGAAAUUCAAGGGGAUGACGACUGAGAUGAUGAAAUUCAAGAAGCUGUUACUGCCAUUUGUUCGUUGUGUUCCUUGUUUAUUAUUGUUGAUCAUAUGGAUCUCUCUUGCAUGACAGAUUUAUGUUUUGAAUGCAGGUUGCUGAAUAACAUUUGGAGACGAGAUAGUUACAAAACUCUUUGGUGGUGGUGUUAUUCAGUCUUACAGCAUUAGCAGCACUGGAAUGUGGAGUUGCAGGUGUAAGUACCUGUAAUCCACUUGGAACUUCACUAUAAUAGCCGAAAAUACUGUAAAGAUCGCUGACUUCUGUUUCAUGGCUGACCCAAGACAUAUCUACUUACACACGUUGUGUUGUUUUUCUCUAUUCCUUUAAAGAGCAAUUGCAGCAGAAUGUUGGUGUUCAUGCAAUGCCGUGUUGGCAGCUUGAAAAAUCUCUCCAAAGUUUAAUAGGUAACUUGGAGUUUUUUUAUAAUAUCCAUUUCAAGUCUUUAUUCUUUGUGAUGGGUUGUGUUUAGUAUCAAGAGAGUAAGC
Molecule: long non-coding RNA, 1601 nt
Organism: Papaver somniferum (opium poppy)
Lineage: Eukaryota; Viridiplantae; Streptophyta; Magnoliopsida; Ranunculales; Papaveraceae
Exons: 3
Source: RefSeq, a predicted model, not a curated record